RNAcentral lists this ribosomal RNA (482 nucleotides) under Mesalina microlepis. Its description in RNAcentral is "partial 16S ribosomal RNA". It matches the Rfam family "Bacterial large subunit ribosomal RNA", at positions 1861 to 2597 of the family's 2925-position model. Lineage: Eukaryota; Metazoa; Chordata; Lepidosauria; Squamata; Lacertidae. The record is from RNAcentral.
GCCCAGUGACCCGUUUAACGGCCGCGGUAUCCUAACCGUGCAAAGGUAGCAUAAUCACUUGUCCCCUAAAUAGGGACUAGCAUGAACGGCUAAAUGAGGAUCACACUGUCUCUUGUAAUUAUCUUAUGAAACUGAUCUUGUAGUCCAAAAGCUACAAUAAAAACACCAGACGAGAAGACCCUGUGGAGCUUCAAAACCAAAACCAAACUAAUGACCCUUUGGUUUUUAGUUGGGGCAACUUCGGAAUAUACAUCAACCUCCGAUAAAAUAAAUUAAGACAAACAAGUCAAAAUAAUACCCUUGACCCAAUGGUCUUUUCCCCCAGACUAUUUGAUCAAUGAACCAAGUUACCCCAGGGAUAACAGCGCUAUCCCCUUUCAGAGUCCCUAUCGACAAGGGGGCUUACGACCUCGAUGUUGGAUCAGGACACCCCAAUAAUGCAGCCGUUAUUAAAGGUUCGUUUGUUCAACGAUUAAAGUCCU